GUAGGAAUGUGGCUGGCUGACAGAGCUAUAGGACCUCAGAGGAGGUAGUGCUGCCAGAAGCCAGGAAGAGCAAGAAGCAGCCCUGAGCUGGUUGCGGGGGCUCCAUCAGGACGAGGUCCUGAGGAAUACCAUCAGAUCCAGAAACUCUGCAGUGCUUCCCGGCACUGAUUCUCAGCGCUGACUUUGUCAAGGAGCAGGACUGCACUAAUGCUGUAAUUACGGUGUUGGCUGAUCCACUACUCUUAUUAAGGCCUUGUCUGUGAUGUUGGAAGUGUGUUCUAAAGUCUCAAACUUUAAGUGAACUUUGAUUUCAUCUCCAGAAAGAACUUAUGGAACCUGCCAUUUCUCUAAAGGAUACAG
Long non-coding RNA from Chelonia mydas (Green sea turtle), 360 nucleotides. RefSeq lists it as uncharacterized. The record is from RefSeq and is a predicted model, not a curated record. NCBI's taxonomy places the organism in Eukaryota, Metazoa, Chordata, Testudines, Cheloniidae. The transcript has 3 exons.